AGAUCAACAAAGCAGAGAUUUUAACCAAAAUUAUGUUCCUGUUUAAGUUGGUGUUGAAGAGGGAUUCCAGAACCAAUCGAUCUCUUCUGAUUCUCUGCUUCAUUAACAGUAGCACAGAUUUAACAAUUCAAGCAAGCACAGUUGAGCUCUGGACCAGUUCAGAGAAGACAUGACAUUAGAACAGAUGAGGUAACUGAGGCACAGA
Long non-coding RNA from Ornithorhynchus anatinus (platypus), 205 nucleotides. RefSeq lists it as uncharacterized. NCBI's taxonomy places the organism in Eukaryota, Metazoa, Chordata, Mammalia, Monotremata, Ornithorhynchidae. The record is from RefSeq and is a predicted model, not a curated record. The transcript has 3 exons.